GGGAGAGAGAGAGAGAGAGAGAGAGAGAGAGGGGGAGAGGGAGAGAGAGAGAGGGAGAGAGGGGAGAGGGAGAGGGAGAGAGAGGGAGAGAGAGAGGGAGAGGGAGAGAGAGAGAGAGGGAGAGGGAGAGAGAGAGAGAGAGAGAGAGAGAGAGAGAAAAGGUUCUGUCAGAGGGGUUGCAAAACCAACCAACAACAUUUUAUUGAAGUCUCUUUAAACCUUUCUAUUUAUAUCAAACUCUACUUGAGUGACAUCCUUCUAUAUUUAAACAUUGUACUAAUAACAUGCUGUCAGACAUGGUGGGAAAAAGUCCAUUGUAGCCAUUUACUAAUGUUGUAUUUAUUGUAUUACUGAGUAAGAAAAAAACAUUUAUAAAUGAUGAAUAUAAGUAUAUCUAUUUGUGAUCUGCAACCCUUGGAAUUAAAUUAGCUUUUCAUUUUUCAUUUUAUCAAUAUUUGAUUUCAUGACGCAGGACUUAAUGCACUGUCGAACAUAUGGAGAGAUUUAUACUAUAAUUGUGUGGCAUUAUUUCUGUUUGUCUAUUUACUGUUCUUCCUUUGGUUCAGCUAUUGAAUGUAACUUCAAAAACUCUUGGACUUUUUAUGUAAAUGUUGUUCUUUUUUAAAAACAAACCAACUGUACUCUGUAACAAUAUGUAUGUUGUACAUUACACAAUGAUAAUAUAGCAAACGAUUCUUCUACCAUAAUGCUGGACUUCGGUCACGUAAAGGCCAAUGUGACUGCAGAAGGUAUUAUGUGGAACACACCAGUGCCCUGCAGACAGACUCACUCCAGAUAAGUGUAAUCAUUACUGGAUCAGUCAGAACGCUUCUCACCAAGGCUUUUAACAUUUGAUGAGAACAAGAACACCAGGAGUGGAGAAUCGCAGAGCCGCAUACUGUCCUGUGUGCCAGAUAAAAUAUGUUUUUCAAAUAUAGUUUUCUUUCUUUCUUCUUCUCUCUUCUGAGGUGAAAGAGAGAGAGGGAACGAGGGAUUAGCGCUGCAGAGGGGGUGGUGGGGGGGAGGGGCUGACUGUAAUGACACAGUCAGUCCCAAAAUGACAGCGCUUAGAUAAAACUUGAGGAUUCAGUUUUGAGGACAGGGAACGAGGGGAACGAGGGGACACCCUAUCCCUCUCCUCUCUGAGCGGAGGACAGGAUGGUACUGGAAAACACUGAGCUCUCUUUCCUUUCUGAGUUCACCACUGCCUCUGCUGCAGAUCAAGCUUCCCUAUACCACAAUGAGCUGCUUUCUCUGACAGGCUGGCCUAAGGACGUUUCCCUGGACUCAGAUGCGACUGUAUCUGAUAGGCAGGCUUAAGGACAUUUCCCUGGACUCAGGUGUGACUGUAUCUGAUGGGCUGGCCUAAGGACGUUUCCCUGGACUCAGAUGUGACUGUAUCUGAGAGGCUAGCCUAAGGACGUUUCCCUGGACUCAGAUGUGACUGUAUCUGAGAGGCUAGCCUAAGGACGUUUCCCUGGACUCAGAUGUGACUGUAUCUGGUGGGCUGGUCGAAGGACAUUUCCCUGGACUCAGGUGUGACUGUAUCUGACAGGCUAGCCUAUGGACGUUUCCUACAGUUGAAUGGAUGCAAGGUUCCAGAGAAAUAAAUCUAUUUUGCUGCAUUAUUUGUCUCUGAGACGACAGAACGGGAAUCGUAACAAGUGGACAGGGGGACAGCUGUAUGUUGACAGGUCGGGAGGCAGGUAGCCUAGCGUUUAAGAGCAAAGGGCCAGUAAUCAAAAGGUCACUGGUUCAAAUCCCAGAGUCAACUACACGAAAAGGCAAUGCGCCCUUGAGCAAGGCACUUAACUGUAAUUGCUCUCAAUAAGUGUGUCUGAUAAGAACAUAUUAGCUGUAUGUGGCACAAAUGAUGAGACCUGAACCAAAAAAAGUGUGUGCGUGGUAACACAUAUGUGUUCUAGAGGAAAAUCCCCUGUCAACCUCUCACCACUCUAUCAGUUGUUGCAACGCUCAAGGGACUCUUGCUGUCAAGUCUGCACUGGCACUGAGAGAGACUGGGACCUGAUGUAAUAAAAAAGACAAGCAAACAAAUAAAAAAAAAUAACUACGAUGUCAAUCUAACAGAGAUCUGGGAGCCGCGACCUCUGGGGUGUCACAGAGACAAAUAUUCUGGUUCUGUUGUUCUUUGGUCUGUUUGAGACUUUCCGUUCUCAUGUCGACCUGUUGUCCAUCCCUGAUGAUAGAGAUGUGUCAUAAAAGCAGUGUUAAAACUACUCCUGCACACAAGUUUGCUUCUGCACCCUUGUAAAUAUGUAGGUCUAUCGGAACUUACACAUACAAAUAAACAAGCAUAAGUGAAUGUUAUUGCAGGGAGUAUUUUUUUGUCUUUGAGCAUAGAAUAUUGGUAAGAAUUUGUUUUAUUCCCAGCACCACAGGAAUAGGUGGUGGUGGUGUGUGUGUGUGUGUGUGGUGUGUGUGUGUGUGUGUGUGUGUGUGUGUGUGUGUGUGUGUGUGUGUGUGUGUGUGUGUGUGUGUGUGUGUGUGUGUGUGUGUGUGUGUGUGUGUGUGUGUGUGUGUGUGUGUGUGUGUGUGUGUGUGUGUGUGUGUGUGUGUGUGUGUGUGUGUGUGUGUGUGUGUGUGUGUUAAUGUUUGCUCUGAAAGGGAUGAAAAGGAUUUUAUUUAAGUGUGUGGAUAUGCCAAACAGGUGUGAAGCAGACUUCACUAUAGCUCUGUUACAGUCUAAGGCUAAUAACUGUACUGUGCCCCCCACCCCCUACUCCUAAACUCACCUAUACCCCUUUGCCCUCUAACCCAAAGCCCAGGUCCACCACUUAUCUCAAUAAUAUACGGCUUCCCGAAAAUCCACACGCUUCCUUACAAAACCCUGAUUUGUUUGUAACCUAAACCCUGUCUCAUCUAAAAUCAGACCCUGACCCUGUCUCAUUUGAACCCAGACCCUGUCUCAUCUAAAACCAGAAACCUCAGUCCUAACCAAACCCAGUUCAGACCCAGUUUAUCCUAUAGUAUUUGAUACAACUCUCAACCCUCUAAGCCAAACCCACAGACCCCCCUUAUAACUUAUCCAUCACCAUCCAAGUUCCCUACGCCCUCUGCAGUCCCCCAAAGCACAAAGGUUGGAGUGGUGUAGAAGUAAGCCCUGUGAAAGAGAAACCCUUCCAUUCUGUUCGUGUCUGUCUAUCUAUCUGUUUACGGCUUAUAAACUUUGUGCUUUUGUAUUCCGAAUGUACAGAGCCCCCCCCCCUUCUCUGUCUAUAUCAGAACGUUGUAUAACUGUAUAUUCAAAACAAGGACUCUUCAUGUGCAAACAAAUCUAUUUCUUUCUUCUUCUUUUUGGUAAUUGUUCCAAGGUCAUGUAGUUUAAAAGAUGAGUAGGUAAAUGAACAACAUAAAUAAAGAGAUAUAUUGAACAGUAUAAAGAGACCACAUUUUCAGCUGUACUCUGUACUCAUCUGUACUCUAUCUUCUUGUUUUGUCCUACUUUCUGUAUGCUUCCAAUGUGCUUCAGAGAUACAGUACUAUUAUGAUAUUGUUAAAUUAUUAUCACAAUUAUUAUUGCAGUUAUUAUCAUGAUUACUACAGUUAUUAAUAAAUAUUUAUUUCCUCGACGAGA
Oncorhynchus tshawytscha (Chinook salmon) is the source of this 3595-nucleotide long non-coding RNA. The record is from Ensembl. NCBI's taxonomy places the organism in Eukaryota, Metazoa, Chordata, Actinopteri, Salmoniformes, Salmonidae.